This 188-nucleotide ribosomal RNA is filed under the name uncultured soil bacterium. Its description in RNAcentral is "partial 16S ribosomal RNA". It matches the Rfam family "Bacterial small subunit ribosomal RNA", at positions 26 to 242 of the family's 1533-position model. The record is from RNAcentral.
AGAACGAACGCUGGCGGCAUGCCUAAUACAUGCAAGUCGAACGAACUCUUCGGAGUUAGUGGCGCACGGGUGCGUAACGCGUGGGAAUCUGCCCCUUGGUUCGGAAUAACAGUUGGAAACGACUGCUAAUACCGGAUGAUGACGAAAGUCCAAAGAUUUAUCGCCAAGGGAUGAGCCCGCGUAGGAUU